UUUUUUUUUUUUUUUUUUGAGACGGAGUCUCGCUCUGCCGCCCAGGCUGGAGUGCAGUGACUGGAUCUCAGCUCACUGCAACCUCCACCUCCGGGUUCAUGCCAUUCUCCUGCCUCAGCCUCCCGAGUAGCUGGGACUACAGGCACCCGCCACCUCGCCAGGCUAGUUUUUCGUAUUUUUCAGUAGAGACGGGUUUCACCGUGUUAGCCAGGAUGGUCUCCAUCUCCUGACCUCGCGAUCCGCCCGUCUCGGCCUCCCAAAGUGCUGGGAUUACAGGCUUGAGCCACCGCGCCCGGCCAUAAAUUCAUAUUUACAUCUGGGGACAAAUUAUCAGGCAUCUACAAAUUCUCCAUGCAAAGGUGUUUUACUCAUUUAGAUUUUAGUUUGUUUUUAUGUUGAUGUUAAUCUUUUAAAAAGCUUAUGUGAUUAUAUUUAGGGUCAUCUGAAUAUCCUCUUUAUACCUGUUAGGCAACGUGUAUGUUCAUGGUAGCAUUAGUGCCAAAUAAUUCAAAUUCACUUGUUUACAAGCUACUGAAAACAGAUGCAGGCAGACUUAAUAUGUAGCUUCCAUGCUCUUCCAAAAGAAAGACAAGUGACAAUGGAAAAAAAUUUGAACAAAGAUUUGGUAAUAGUUUGACUCCAGAAACUAAAGGAACAUCCAGUCAUUAAAUGGCACACUGUAUCACUGGUAAGCUGAAACUUUAAAAAAAAAAAAAAAAAGGAAUCUUGCCAGUUAGCACUAAGUGUAAUGAUUUAACAGUGUUCAUCACUGUCAAUUAAUAAGACUAUUUAUAUUGGUUUUGUGUAUAUUUAUUGCAAUUGUUUAAAUAGUUACAUGAAAACUGUAAGCUUAUGUUUACACCUAGAUUCGUAUUUCUAUAUAUUUAAAUGUUAAUAAAUUAACAUAAAUUAGCUUAAAAAUAAUAAGCUGACACUUGAGUGUGGCCAGUGAGAUCAGAACUCAGAAAAGACACAACUCAGGUUGUCUUCUCUCUGUACUUUGCUGUCUGACUCUGGGCAAGUCAAAUGACCUCACCUCCCCUAUUUCUUCACAGCAAACUAAGAAUAAUAAUUUCAUUCACACAGGACCAUUGCGAGGAGUACGUGAAAUAAUGAAUACAACCGGGAAUGAAUGCCUUCUCAGGUGGAGUGUGUUGUGGACAAUAAGAUAUCUGAAUCAAGAGUCUGUACUUUCAGCCUACAUUUUGAUGCCACGUUGGGUAAAUCUCCUUACUUCUAUGGUAGUCACCAUUGUUUUUUAAAGUUAGGAGAUUAUCUCAGUUCCUUUUAAAAUAGCUUUUAUAGAAGGUGGUUGGGUUUUCCACUGGAAUUUCAAAGUACUCCCCAUUUCUGUAUCAUGCCCACAGUUAUUUCGGUUUCCAUUAGCUUUUUUUAAAACUUACUGAGGGACAAAAACGUUAAGAUUCAUUUGUGAUCAAUGCAGCAAUGUCCAAAUAUAAGCAGAGUUAAAAGAGCAAAAUUAUCCCAUCUAUCAGAGAAACUUUAAUAUUUUUCUUUGCUUCGUUGUUUUAUCUGGUAUAAUGGAAGGGCAGAACUCAUAUCUGAGUCUUCUCUCUGUUCUUAGCUGUAAUCCUAGCAAAUUAAAUGACCUCUUUACACUGGCUAAUUAUUCAUCUGCCAAACAAUUAUAACAGCCACCAUUGAUCACGUACGAGCUUACCCAAUGCCAUGCGUGCACUGUGUUCUCAACGUGCACACCAGGCGAACUCUCUCAUUUAGUGCUCACAAUUUUGAGGUGGACAUUAGGUCCACUUAACCGAUGAAAAAACUGAGGCUGAACAAAGUUAAAAACCUGUCAUGCAGCAUCUGCAGAGCGGAGGUUCUAAAAACACCUCACCGUAAGAAAGAACUGCUAACAAACAAUAGCUCUGCCUCUAAACACCCGCUUUUCGUCUAAUAUUCACAGAUGGGCAUUUGGAACGUCAAAGGGCCAGAAGCCCUUAGAACCUUCAGGGCUGCAGUAAAGCGGCUGCACCAAAUCCCAGAGCAACUCCCUCGAAAU
Macaca fascicularis (crab-eating macaque) is the source of this 2023-nucleotide long non-coding RNA. The record is from Ensembl. Lineage: Eukaryota; Metazoa; Chordata; Mammalia; Primates; Cercopithecidae.